GACGUAGGGCGCGAGCGUUGUCCGGAUUUAUUGGGCGUAAAGAGCUCGUAGGCGGUUUGUCGCGUCGUCUGUGAAAACCCACGGCUCAACUGUGGGCUUGCAGUCGAUACGGGCAGGCUAGAGUUCGGUAGGGGAGACUGGAGUUCCUGGUGUAGCGGUGAAAUGCGCAGAUAUCAGGAGGAACACCGGUGGCGAAGGCGGGUCUCUGGGCCGAUACUGACGCUGAGGAGCGAAAGCGUGGGGAGCGAACAGG
RNAcentral lists this ribosomal RNA (253 nucleotides) under uncultured bacterium. RNAcentral describes it as "partial 16S ribosomal RNA". It matches the Rfam family "Bacterial small subunit ribosomal RNA", at positions 524 to 776 of the family's 1533-position model. The record is from RNAcentral.